GACGAACGCUGGCGGCGUGCUUAACACAUGCAAGUCGAGCGGUAAGGCCCUUUCGGGGGUACACGAGCGGCGAACGGGUGAGUAACACGUGGGUGACCUGCCCUCAGCUCUGGGAUAAGCCUGGGAAACUGGGUCUAAUACCGGAUAUGACUCCAUGACGCAUGUUGUGGGGUGGAAAGCCUUGUGCGGCUGAGGAUGGGCCCGCGGCCUAUCAGCUUGUUGGNGGGUGAUGGCCUACCAAGGCGACGACGGGUAGCCGGCCUGAGAGGGCGACCGGCCACACUGGGACUGAGACACGGCCCAGACUCCUACGGGAGGCAGCAGUGAGGAAUCUUGCGCAAUGGGCGAAAGCCUGACGCAGCGACGCCGCGUGAGGGAUGACGGCCUGG
Molecule: ribosomal RNA, 389 nt
Filed under: uncultured bacterium
Lineage: Bacteria
Description: bacterial SSU rRNA
Rfam family: Bacterial small subunit ribosomal RNA
Source: RNAcentral